This 485-nucleotide ribosomal RNA is filed under the name uncultured bacterium. Its description in RNAcentral is "partial 16S ribosomal RNA". It matches the Rfam family "Bacterial small subunit ribosomal RNA", at positions 30 to 507 of the family's 1533-position model. The record is from RNAcentral.
AUUGAACGCUGGCGGCAGGCUUAACACAUGCAAGUCGAGCGGGGAAAGGUAGCUUGCUACCUGACCUAGCGGCGGACGGGUGAGUAAUGCUUAGGAAUCUGCCUAUUAGUGGGGGACAACAUCUCGAGAGGGAUGCUAAUACCGCAUACGUCCUACGGGAGAAAGCAGGGGACCUUCGGGCCUUGCGCUAAUAGAUGAGCCUAAGUCGGAUUAGCUAGUUGGUGGGGUAAAGGCCUACCAAGGCGACGAUCUGUAGCGGGUCUGAGAGGAUGAUCCGCCACACUGGGACUGAGACACGGCCCAGACUCCUACGGGAGGCAGCAGUGGGGAAUAUUGGACAAUGGGGGGAACCCUGAUCCAGCCAUGCCGCGUGUGUGAAGAAGGCCUUUUGGUUGUAAAGCACUUUAAGCGAGGAGGAGGCUACCGAGAUUAAUACUCUUGGAUAGUGGACGUUACUCGCAGAAUAAGCACCGGCUAACUCUGUG